UGAUUCUUAGUGGCGAACGGGUGAGUAACGCGUAGACAACCUGCCUUCUAGAUGGGGACAACACUGCGAAAGUGGUGCUAAUACCGAAUGUUGCAUUAAGCCUGCAUGGGCUUGAUACUAAAGGUGGCCUCUAUUUAUAAGCUAUCACUAGAAGAUGGGUCUGCGUCUGAUUAGCUAGUUGGUGAGGUAAUGGCUCACCAAGGCGAUGAUCAGUAGCCGGUCUGAGAGGAUGAACGGCCACACUGGGACUGAGACACGGCCCAGACUCCUACGGGAGGCAGCAGUGGGGAAUCUUCCGCAAUGGACGAAAGUCUGACGGAGCAACGCCGCGUGAGUGAAGAAGGUUUUCGGAUCGUAAAGCUCUGUCUUUGAGGACGAAUGUGUCUAAUGUGAAUAAUGUUAGAUAAUGACGGUACUCGAGGAGGAAGCCACGGCUAACUACGUGCCAGCAGCCGCGGUAAUACGUA
RNAcentral lists this ribosomal RNA (467 nucleotides) under uncultured Clostridium sp. RNAcentral describes it as "bacterial SSU rRNA". It matches the Rfam family "Bacterial small subunit ribosomal RNA", at positions 86 to 529 of the family's 1533-position model. The record is from RNAcentral. Lineage: Bacteria; Bacillati; Bacillota; Clostridia; Eubacteriales; Clostridiaceae.